This is a small nucleolar RNA of Myxocyprinus asiaticus (Chinese sucker), 71 nucleotides long. RefSeq annotates it as small nucleolar RNA SNORD58. The record is from RefSeq and is a predicted model, not a curated record. The transcript has a single exon. NCBI's taxonomy places the organism in Eukaryota, Metazoa, Chordata, Actinopteri, Cypriniformes, Catostomidae.
CUGCAAUGAUGACAAUUUAGGACACCUUUGGAUUAAACAUGAAACAAAUCAUGCGUUAUUUUCUGAGUAGC